GACGAACGCUGGCGGCGUGCUUAACACAUGCAAGUCGAACGAUGAAGCUGGAGCUUGCUCCAGUGGAUUAGUGGCGAACGGGUGAGUAACACGUGAGCAAUCUGCCCUUGACUCUGGGAUAACUGCGGGAAACUGUAGCUAAUACCGGAUAUGACACCUUGGGGCAUCCCGAGGUGUGGAAAGAAUUUCGGUCAAGGAUGAGCUCGCGGCCUAUCAGCUUGUUGGUGAGGUAACGGCUCACCAAGGCGAC
Molecule: ribosomal RNA, 250 nt
Filed under: uncultured bacterium
Lineage: Bacteria
Description: partial 16S ribosomal RNA
Rfam family: Bacterial small subunit ribosomal RNA
Source: RNAcentral